CGAGACGGGAUGGAAUGACCCUUCGGGGGAAUGAAAUCCUAGAAAGUGGCGAACGGGUGAGUAACGCGUGGGUAACCUGCCCUAUGGAAAGGAAUAGCCUCGGGAAACUGGGAGUAAUGCCUUAUAAUAUACGAGAGUCGCAUGGCUUUUGUAUUAAACGCUCCGGUGCCAUAGGAUGGACCCGCGUCCCAUUAGCUAGUUGGUGAGAUAACAGCCCACCAAGGCAACGAUGGGUAACCGGUCUGAGAGGGCGAACGGUCACACUGGAACUGAGACACGGUCCAGACUCCUACGGGAGGCAGCAGUGGGGAAUAUUGCGCAAUG
RNAcentral lists this ribosomal RNA (324 nucleotides) under uncultured Acetobacterium sp. RNAcentral describes it as "bacterial SSU rRNA". It matches the Rfam family "Bacterial small subunit ribosomal RNA", at positions 58 to 373 of the family's 1533-position model. The record is from RNAcentral. Lineage: Bacteria; Bacillati; Bacillota; Clostridia; Eubacteriales; Eubacteriaceae.